Molecule: unclassified non-coding RNA, 211 nt
Filed under: plant metagenome
Description: partial contains small subunit ribosomal RNA, internal transcribed spacer 1, and 5.8S ribosomal RNA
Source: RNAcentral
UUUCCGUAGGUGAACCUGCGGAAGGAUCAUUCAUAAUAAAGUGUUUUAUGGCACUUUUUAAAAAUCCAUAUCCACCUUGUGUGCAAUGUUAGAUCUCGUCAAUCUUGGCGAGAUUUUUAUACAUCAACUCAUUCUUUAACUAAUUUUUCUGAAAAAUAUUAUGAAUACUUAAUUCAAAAUACAACUUUCAACAACGGAUCUCUUGGCUCUC